Molecule: unclassified non-coding RNA, 405 nt
Filed under: soil metagenome
Description: partial contains 5.8S ribosomal RNA, internal transcribed spacer 2, and large subunit ribosomal RNA
Rfam family: 5.8S ribosomal RNA (bases 1-121)
Source: RNAcentral
GAUGAAGAACGUAGCGAAAUGCGAUAAGUAAUGUGAAUUGCAGAAUUCAGUGAAUCAUCGAAUCUUUGAACGCACCUUGCGCCCUUUGGACAUUCCGAAGGGCAUGCCUGUUUGAGUAUCAUGAACACCUCAACUCUCACGGCUUGUCCGUGAUGAGCUUGGACUUUGGGGGUCUUGCCGGCCUGUGGUCGGCUCCUCUCAAAUGGAUCGGCUUGCCAGUGUUUGGUGGCAUCACAGGUGUGAUAACUAUCUGCGCUUGUGGUUUUCCAUCAGAUAACCUUCAGUGAUAUGGAGGUUCGCUGGAGCUCACAAAUGUCUCUCCUUAGUGAGGACAGCUCUUUGAACGUUUGAUCUCAAAUCAGGUAGGACUACCCGCUGAACUUAAGCAUAUCAAUAAGCGGAGGA